Juglans regia (Persian walnut) is the source of this 399-nucleotide long non-coding RNA. RefSeq lists it as uncharacterized. The transcript is spliced from 5 exons. The record is from RefSeq and is a predicted model, not a curated record. NCBI's taxonomy places the organism in Eukaryota, Viridiplantae, Streptophyta, Magnoliopsida, Fagales, Juglandaceae.
UUGAAACCCAAGCAUCCAAUGUCAGCAUUCUUCUUAUUCACAAACAGUAGCCAAGUUGCACUGCUUGCGGAGAAGAAGAGUGUUUUAGAGGAGCUUGAAGCACUACCCGAUCCAGUGGGGCAUACCUGCUAGAAGAAGGAGAAAGAAUACAAAGAAGCUCGAGGCUUUCAAUGAGAAGAACAUGGAAAAAGUACAACUUAUAACCAGGUUAAUGGAGGAAACUACCCUUAAUCAUGUUAAGAGUGCUGGACUUCUUGGUGAUGGCUUUGGUUCAACGCCAAAGAUGUGCAGAAAGAACCUGAUAUGGGUGGUUACACGAAUGCAGGUGGUGGUAGAUCGCUAUCCUACUUGGUUUAUGAAGUUCUAAAGUUGCUGAAUGAGCUCUACCUACUACAGCUA